Molecule: long non-coding RNA, 1711 nt
Organism: Pezoporus flaviventris
Lineage: Eukaryota; Metazoa; Chordata; Aves; Psittaciformes; Psittacidae
Exons: 5
Source: RefSeq, a predicted model, not a curated record
UUUUUUUUUUUCAGUCUUCCAGGUGCCUUUUUCAUUUGAAAUAUAAAAAAAUUUGCCCAAAUCUUUUUUCGCUUAUUAUACCAGGAGUUUUGUACAUAUCUGUCUGCAGUCUACAUUUUCAUUUACACAUGGAAUCAGGAGGGAUCAGUCAGCUGGGAAUAGAUGCGGGUGUUAAUUAUUUUGUUUUCCAAGUAAUUGUGCAAGCUGUCAUGAAUUAAGGAACACCAAGCUAGAGUGCUUACUUCAAUAUGAUUCUAAGCCUCCUGCAGCUAACCUUAGUGAAGACAUGAAAUGUUUUGCAUUACAUAAGGCUGCGUAGACUGCAACUUGGCAAAACCUGCCUUGGCUCUGUUUAGCUGGCAGAUAACCCUGUGAAUGGGUCCCAGUGGUACUGACACUGAUUCCUAGGUCAGGCUCUGUUCAUCUAUUAACCCACAAAGAGCAAGUCAGGUACUUUUGUAAGACUGUUCUAAUCAGAACAUUCUGUGUCUUUUAUUGUGGCAAUGUACACUGCUGAAGCUCUCUAUCUUCUCUGCUAACCAUGUUUCUUCAGUUAAGGGCGUAAGAUGAUUCUGCCUCUCAUGGCUGCAACUGUGGCCACCUAGAGGCUUGCAGUGUGGCCUGUGUUUCUGUAGCAACCUGUCAUUGCUUUGCAAAGUCACGUUGAGUGAGGAAUACAAAUCUCCUGAUAUCAUCCCAGAUGUGAGACAAUGAAUGACAUCCCAGUACCACCAACUCAAGCAAAGCAGAGUGCUGAGUGGAUAAGAAGAGGGAAAAAGAUUCUCCAGAAUUUGGAGCAGGACAUGAGAAAGCUUUAAGUGGAAAUGUAACCCCCUAAUGCAAUGAGAUGCCGGUAUUGCAUGAAGAGCCAUUAUCCACCAAAGACAUCCUUGCCUGGAGUUUUGUAUGUAGGAUCCUGUCAGUUGGCCACACUCUUUACCUGAACCAGGUGUUCCUGCUGCAGCCAAGAAUCAGUGAAGAUCUUUGAGUCUGCCUUUAAAAACAAAUGGUGGGGACAAAUAGAGGGAGUCUUUCUCAAAGAGUCUGUCCUUUCAAAAGAAGGCCACAGGCACAAAAACAGUUGGCACCCUUGCAAAAAAUGGACUCUUGAACUGGACAAGAUAUAUGGUUUGAGGUUUAGCAACUUAUUUAUUUCUCUCUUUGUAAAUACUGGUGCUAGGACACUAUCACCUACUCUGGUGUUUGCACUCCCACCUGCUGACAGACAAGGCGGAAAAGUGUGGCUCAAUCACAUCUUGUUCAGCAGAAUUCUACCAAAUACCAACCAGACAUGGUGGAAGUGGUUUAGCUACUGUUGUUCCCAGAAUUCAAAAGAAAAAGAAAACCAAGCAACAUGCUUGGUUGAUAAAAUUACACAAGAAAGUGUCAUUGCUGGUGCCUCAGCUCUCCAGGGUGUGUCCAGGGUGGCAUAAGCUUUUCACAUGGCCCCUAGUCUGCACUGGUUAAGCACGACACUGGUGGCUUCAUGUACAUGGGGAUUUUAUGAUUUCUGCCAUGGAAGGAGAAACCACAGUUUAUUUUGGAGGCUAAAGUGGGAAUUCUGAUAAUAAAAAGAAGGGCACGUAAAACCAAGCUGUUGCUUUUUAGGCCCAGCAACCCGUCUUAAUUAAAAUCUUUCAUCAUCCAAGCAGCUGUCACAGCUGUACCUGCCAUUAAGGCAGAGUUCAUCUUACCUCAUGGUGGCUUACUG